GACGAACGCUGGCGGCGUGCCUAAUACAUGCAAGUAGAACGCUGAAGGAGGAGCUUGCUUCUCUGGAUGAGUUGCGAACGGGUGAGUAACGCGUAGGUAACCUGCCUGGUAGCGGGGGAUAACUAUUGGAAACGAUAGCUAAUACCGCAUAAUAGUAGAUGUUGCAUGACAUUUGCUUAAAAGGUGCAAUUGCAUCACUACCAGAUGGACCUGCGUUGUAUUAGCUAGUUGGUGGGGUAACGGCUCACCAAGGCGACGAUACAUAGCCGACCUGAGAGGGUGAUCGGCCAAACUGGGACUGAGACAAGGCCCAGAAUCCUACGGGAGGCAGCAGUAGGGAAUCUUCGGAAAUGGACGGAAGUCUGAACGAGCAACGCCGCGUGAGUGAAGAAGGUUUUCGGAUCGUAAAGCUCUGUUGUAAGAGAAGAAAGAGUGUGAGAGUGGAAAGUUCACACUGUGACGGUAUCUUAACAGAAAGGGACGGCUAACUACGUG
This 495-nucleotide ribosomal RNA is filed under the name uncultured bacterium. Its description in RNAcentral is "partial 16S ribosomal RNA". It matches the Rfam family "Bacterial small subunit ribosomal RNA", at positions 28 to 507 of the family's 1533-position model. The record is from RNAcentral.